RNAcentral lists this long non-coding RNA (1609 nucleotides) under Lactuca sativa (garden lettuce). RNAcentral describes it as "long non-coding RNA (LSAT_LNC004972)". The record is from RNAcentral. Lineage: Eukaryota; Viridiplantae; Streptophyta; Magnoliopsida; Asterales; Asteraceae.
CUCGACUCAUGCGCAUAAAACUCAAAUAAUUGGAGUUCUGAGAAACUUAUACAAAUAGAAGCAGCCAGAUCUGAUUUCUAAGACAAUACAUUAAAUAUCUUUAAAUUUUGAAUAGAAAUGGUAACCAAGGAAAAUAUAUAAAGAGAUGAAGUCUUUAUUCUAAAUAUCAUAUAUACAACCACCAAGGAAUUAAAAAAGAAGUCGUACUUUAAAAUGUUAACUCAAAAUAUUAAUUACAAACCUUAAAUUUAACCUAUAUUAUAGAACAUGUAACUUUAAAAUGCUAACUUAAUCUUCUUCUUGUUCUCUUUCAAGGGUCAAACCAGUACAAUGUAUGUCAUUGGCUUAAGUAUACAAGCUUUAACCAUGUGAUAUUGUAGUCGAUUAGUCUACAAGCAUAAAAUCGAUUAAUAAAUCACACAGUAAAAAGAAAACAUAAAUCCAAGAUUUCAGGCGCUCUUUUUAAUUUUAAUGCGCCAAAUUUCACUUACAUAUUUGAAAUAGGUCUUGAAUACAUAUAGGUUUGAUAUCAUAGACCCCAUAGAGAAGAGAAACAUCGAUGUCUUUGGUUCGCUCUUACUCAUUCCAUACUCAUUUGCAUCCGUUUGAUUUUGAUUUAUACACCAUUUUUCAGUCAUGAAUCCCUCUCCUACUGUUUGUGACCAAAGAUCGGAGCAUUAUUCUUCUUAUACAGAAGGAAAUUUCAAAAAAAAAUAAAAAUAAAAAAAAUCUGAAAUGACAGAUGAAGGUUUAACCUGGAUGGAAUCUAUCAACAUAUGUGUGAAGCGUUAGAAUUUUCUGCAAGAGUGCCAAAAACUGCAAGAUUCAAAAACAAAAAUUAGAUCUGAAAGUUUACAUUUACGAUUUCAGCUCAAAACAAACCACCCCAUGAACCAAGAGACCAUAUCCAGCAUUAAUAUUUUAGCCAUUAAAGUUUAUAUAAGGAGGAGAGAAAGAAAGGGAGAAAAUGAGACAAAAAUAUGAAGAAAGGUUAUCAAAACUUAACCCGGUGAUUGGAUCCAACUUUCCUCGCAAGCUUCUUACAAACUCCAUGUUUUUGCGCAUUCCAAACCCCUCUCUGCAAAUAUGAGUGUGUUUGCCUUUUGUUUCUGCAAAAGAGAGAGAGCGAGAGAUUGAUAGAGAUCUAUGACCACUAAAAAAAUCAAAUAGUCAUAUGCGUGUUUAUAGUUUGAAGAACACUAACCGUGAAAAUUGUCAAUCUAGGUACUUCGAUUUGUAAGUGAUAUAUUCUGAUCUCAAUCCACCAGAAUUGCAGCGACAAUAGGUCAGGAUGCCGUUAACCAAAUAAUUUGGAUAUGUCGGUCUUCGGGUGAAAAAAAUAUCCACAACUGUGGUGAAGAAAAUCGGUGAUUUCAUCGCGUUAGGAUUUUCAGAAAGGAGCAUGUAGAAUUCAAAUUUUGAAUCGAGAUUUAGCGAGGAAGAAGAAGAGAGCGGCGCUUUUAGGUCUGAGAAAGAGGGAGGCAUGUAAACAAAAAAAAGGUCCAUAUCCAUAUGUGUUUCUUUAUGCUUAAUCUUUUGCACAUUGAUCUUAAAUUGUAUAUUUUAUCUUUCAUUUUGAUUGGUCAUUUUGGAUCACAUGGCUUUCCAU